UCCAGGAAGGUGCGGCUGGAUCACCUCCUUUCUAAGG
RNAcentral lists this ribosomal RNA (37 nucleotides) under Frankia sp. HJVEL. Its description in RNAcentral is "partial 16S ribosomal RNA". The record is from RNAcentral. Lineage: Bacteria; Bacillati; Actinomycetota; Actinomycetes; Frankiales; Frankiaceae. RNAcentral also lists the same sequence under 1 other name.